This 439-nucleotide ribosomal RNA is filed under the name uncultured bacterium. RNAcentral describes it as "partial 16S ribosomal RNA". It matches the Rfam family "Bacterial small subunit ribosomal RNA", at positions 339 to 795 of the family's 1533-position model. The record is from RNAcentral.
CUACGGGGCGCUCCAGUGGGGAAUCUUGGACAAUGGGCGCAAGCCUGAUCCAGCCAUGCCGCGUGAGUGAUGAAGGCCCUAGGGUCGUAAAGCUCUUUCGCCAGGGAUGAUAAUGACAGUACCUGGUAAAGAAACCCCGGCUAACUCCGUGCCAGCAGCCGCGGUAAUACGGAGGGGGUUAGCGUUGUUCGGAAUUACUGGGCGUAAAGCGCGCGUAGGCGGAUUGGAAAGUUGGGGGUGAAAUCCCGGGGCUCAACCCCGGAACUGCCUCCAAAACUCCCAGUCUUGAGUUCGAGAGAGGUGAGUGGAAUUCCGAGUGUAGAGGUGAAAUUCGUAGGUAUUCGGAGGAACACCAGUGGCGAAGGCGGCUCACUGGCUCGAUACUGACGCUGAGGUGCGAAAGUGUGGGGAGCAAACAGGAUUAGAUACCCGGGUAGUC